UACGGGGGGGGUAAGCGUUGUUCGGAAUUACUGGGCGUAAAGGGCUCGUAGGCGGCCAACUAAGUCGGAUGUGAAAUCCCCAGGCUUAACCUGGGAACUGCAUCCGAUACUGGAUGGCUUGAAUCCGGGAGAGGGAUGCAGAAUUCCAGGUGUAGCGGUGAAAUGCGUAGAUAUCUGGAGGAAUACCGGUGGCGAAGGCGGCAUCCUGGACCGGCAUUGACGCUGAGGAGCGAAAGCUAGGGGAGCAAACGGG
This 253-nucleotide ribosomal RNA is filed under the name uncultured bacterium. RNAcentral describes it as "partial 16S ribosomal RNA". It matches the Rfam family "Bacterial small subunit ribosomal RNA", at positions 524 to 776 of the family's 1533-position model. The record is from RNAcentral.